AGGGUCCAUGGACAUUUACUGAAACUCUUUACAAUACAUAGUAGUUUGUCCUGGGUUGCAGCAUAAUGUGUUAUAUCCAAAAAAUAGAGUGCUAUCCAAAAAUAGAGUGAUUUAUACAAGGGAAAUUUCAGAUAUUCAUAUAGUUUUGAUUAUCUUAACACUAUUAUGGCUAUUGUUAUUCUAAAUUAAAUAAACUAAUACCAAUGUAUCUGACUUGACCAUUGUAACUUAAUACUGCAAUGUCAGUGUCACCAUAAGCAUAUAGCUAUGUCUAAUCUAAGAAGGGUGAGUGUAUUUUUGAUCAAAAAUAUAUGAAAAUCCGCACAGUUUUAUAUACUGGGUUGGCUAUACAGUCUAUUUUAUGUGAUAGAUAAAACAACUCCUAUUAUUUCCUGUGAACAGUGUGCAUGUCUGGACUAGCCACAUCGGAACAAUGAUGGCGUGGUCGUAGAUGUUAUGCAAGAGGACAGGAAGCCUGGGAAGAGUACCAUGUAGAGAUUCAGCUGAGACCUGGGCUUUAGUGGAAGUGAUGCUGGGACGCAAAGGGUCUUGUGACCAGGUGGGACAUUGCUCGGGAGGUGGACAAGGAUUCUGUGGAGGAGAGGACUCUUCUCUCUGAGGAUGUUCAUGUUUCAGCAGAAGUCACCCUCUGAAAAGGACAAAAUGAUUAUGGCAAACAUCUUAAACGCUAGGAUGCCUGUAAAUGCAGAAUUUAUUUACUGAGAUUCAAGCUUCAAGCUAUCCUCUUAACAUUAACUUCCUAGCUGAAGAAAUGGAUAUUGGUUUUAAUGGUUAAGAAAUUAUGAGGAGGGAGGUAUUUGCUGCCACUUUGGACUACUGUUAGCAUGUCUGAUUUACAGCCAUUAUAACAAUUGAAAAAUAUGUGUCAUUGCCUCAUUGAUCAGUAGUCAAAGCGAUGGCGAUAAGAAAGAAUGUGGAGAUCAGCAUUUAUUAUGCUAUAAAAACAACACCUUGUCUUCUUGAAAUGACUGUAAAAUAAUAAUAGCUUGUUCAUUUGUUUACCUUCAGGAAGAAAAAUCAGAACUCAGGUAGGUUGUGGUGCAGAUGCUAUAGUAUUGGGCACUUAAGAAAUAUAUUCAAUAAUUAAUAAUGACUUGUGAAGUGAAAAAAACCCUGGGUGAACUUAAUAUCUGUAAAGGAAUAGGUAAGAGCUGGCCAUAUGAAUUGACUGUCCCUUCUGAAAAAUUAACUUGUUUGCACAGUCUUGUUUAGGCAGUAGAGAGAAAAUAAGAAAAGAUACGUGAAAGAAUGAUCUUUUUGGAAGACUGGAUGCAAAAAUGCAGAAUUAGGCUGUUAUUUAUGUUGGUGGAAUGAUUUAUCUUAUGUAAAGAAUAAUGUAAGGAUAACAAAAGAAAUCUAAAUUUCAUCUAGGAUUAUUUAAAGGUUUGCUUGAGGCCAUAUUGUGUUUCUUGUUUUCCUAAUUAACAAAUCAUCACUGCACAAAGCAACACAGGUGGUCAGUCCCCUUGGGGGUCACAUCAAAGGGGCCACCAUGAAGCUUUAGAUGUUAUUCAAAAGCAAUCUGAAACUUGUCUCUCACUGAUUGUCCUAUCUAUUGUAGUCCACAGGGUCAUCUUUAAAGGAGUGUUUAGUUUGCAA
RNAcentral lists this long non-coding RNA (1620 nucleotides) under Struthio camelus australis. Its description in RNAcentral is "lncRNA (ENSSCUG00000009967.1)". Lineage: Eukaryota; Metazoa; Chordata; Aves; Struthioniformes; Struthionidae. The record is from RNAcentral.